UACGUAGGCAGCAAGCGUUGUUCGGAGUUACUGGGCGUAAAGGGUGUGUAGGCGGUCCUCUAAGUUUGGUGUGAAAUCUCCCGGCUCAACUGGGAGGGUGCGCCGAAAACUGGAGGGCUAGAGUACUGGAUGGGAGAGUGGAAUUCCUGGUGUAGCGGUGAAAUGCGUAGAUAUAGGGAGGAACAUCAGUGGCGAAGGCGACACCCUGGACCAGCACUGACACUGAGGCACGAAAGCGUGGGGAGCAAACAGG
RNAcentral lists this ribosomal RNA (253 nucleotides) under uncultured bacterium. RNAcentral describes it as "partial 16S ribosomal RNA". It matches the Rfam family "Bacterial small subunit ribosomal RNA", at positions 524 to 776 of the family's 1533-position model. The record is from RNAcentral.